UACGUAGGGUGCGAGCGUUGUCCGGAAUUAUUGGGCGUAAAGAGCUCGUAGGCGGUUUGUUGCGUCGGCCGUGAAAACUCAGGGCUUAACUCUGAGCCUGCGGUCGAUACGGGCAGACUUGAGUUCGGUAGGGGAGACUGGAAUUCCUGGUGUAGCGGUGAAAUGCGCAGAUAUCAGGAGGAACACCGGUGGCGAAGGCGGGGUCUCUGGGGCCGAUACUGACGCUGAGGAGCGAAAGCGUGGGGAGCGAACAGG
This 255-nucleotide ribosomal RNA is filed under the name uncultured bacterium. RNAcentral's name for it is "partial 16S ribosomal RNA". It matches the Rfam family "Bacterial small subunit ribosomal RNA", at positions 524 to 776 of the family's 1533-position model. The record is from RNAcentral.